RNAcentral lists this ribosomal RNA (440 nucleotides) under uncultured bacterium. RNAcentral's name for it is "partial 16S ribosomal RNA". It matches the Rfam family "Bacterial small subunit ribosomal RNA", at positions 338 to 795 of the family's 1533-position model. The record is from RNAcentral.
CCUACGGGAGGCAGCAGUAGGGAAUAUUGCUCAAUGGGGGAAACCCUGAAGCAGCAACGCCGCGUGGAGGAUGAAGGUUUUCGGAUUGUAAACUCCUUUUGUUAGAGAAGAUAAUGACGGUAUCUAACGAAUAAGCACCGGCUAACUCCGUGCCAGCAGCCGCGGUAAUAUGGCGGGUGCAAGCGUUACUCGGAAUCACUGGGCGUAAAGGGAGCGUAGGCGGGAGCGCAAGUCAGAUGUUAAAUCCUAUGGCUUAACCAUAGAACUGCAUUUGAAACUGUUAUUCUAGAGUAUGGGAGAGGUAGGUGGAAUUCUUGGUGUAGAGGUGAAAUCCGUAGAGAUCAAGAGGAAUACUCAUUGCGAAGGCGACCUGCUAGAACAUAACUGACGCGGAUGCGCGAAAGCGUGGGGAGCAAACAGGAUUAGAUACCCCGGUAGUC